Small nucleolar RNA from Phodopus roborovskii (desert hamster), 216 nucleotides. RefSeq annotates it as small nucleolar RNA U3. The record is from RefSeq and is a predicted model, not a curated record. The transcript has a single exon. Lineage: Eukaryota; Metazoa; Chordata; Mammalia; Rodentia; Cricetidae.
AAGACUACACUUUGAGGGAUCAUUUCUAUAGUUCCUUGCUAGAGAGCAGUUUCUCUAGUAGAGUACCCAGGACCACGAGGAGGAUGAGACACAGCGUCCCCACUCCCCGCCCCCACCCCCCAUCGUGAAGCUGGCUCUAGGCUCUGCUUUCUAUUGUGCUGCAGCCUCCUCUUCACUGAUGAUCAUUCUCUUCCUUUGGAAGAGUGAGGGAAAGGA